GAUGAACGCUGGCGGCGUGCCUAAUACAUGCAAGUCGAGCGAACGGACGAGAAGCUUGCUUUUCUGAUGUUAGCGGCGGACGGGUGAGUAACACGUGGAUAACCUACCUAUAAGACUGGGAUAACUUCGGGAAACCGGAGCUAAUACCGGAUAAUAUUUUGAACCGCAUGGUUCAAAAGUGAAAGACGGUCUUGCUGUCACUUAUAGAUGGAUCCGCGCUGCAUUAGCUAGUUGGUAAGGUAACGGCUUACCAAGGCAACGAUGCAUAGCCGACCUGAGAGGGUGAUCGGCCACACUGGAACUGAGACACGGUCCAGACGCCUACGGGAGGCAGCAGUAGGGAAUCUUCCGCAAUGGGCGAAAGCCUGACGGAGCAACGCCGCGUGAGUGAUGAAGGUCUUCGGAUCGUAAAACUCUGUUAUUAGGGAAGAACAUAUGUGUAAGUAACUGUGCACAUCGUGACGGUACCUAAUCAGAAAGCCACGGCUAACUACGUG
This 497-nucleotide ribosomal RNA is filed under the name uncultured bacterium. RNAcentral's name for it is "partial 16S ribosomal RNA". It matches the Rfam family "Bacterial small subunit ribosomal RNA", at positions 28 to 507 of the family's 1533-position model. The record is from RNAcentral.